UACGUAGGGUCCGAGCGUUGUCCGGAAUUAUUGGGCGUAAAGCGCGCGCAGGCGGUCCUUUAAGUCUGAUGUGAAAGCCCACGGCUCAACCGUGGAGGGUCAUUGGAAACUGGGGGACUUGAGUGCAGAAGAGGAAAGCGGAAUUCCACGUGUAGCGGUGAAAUGCGUAGAGAUGUGGAGGAACACCAGUGGCGAAGGCGGCUUUCUGGUCUGUAACUGACGCUGAGGCGCGAAAGCGUGGGGAGCAAACAGG
RNAcentral lists this ribosomal RNA (253 nucleotides) under uncultured bacterium. RNAcentral's name for it is "partial 16S ribosomal RNA". It matches the Rfam family "Bacterial small subunit ribosomal RNA", at positions 524 to 776 of the family's 1533-position model. The record is from RNAcentral.